AGCUCUUCCCAAAGAGCUGCAUGCCGACAACGGCAAAGAUGAAGACGAUGAUGGCCAACACCAAGGUGCCUGCUUAGUUAUUAAGGGAGGAGUAAAAAAUUAUUUGUGGCUCAAAAAGAACUUUCUAAGUAUAUACGUUACUCCGUACAAAUGGAUAUUGAAAGAUGGCUUUAGCUGGAAGUGAGAACCAAGAAUUUCCAGAAGAGAUCUGCAGCUGAACAUAGUGGCACACACCUGUAAACCCAGCACUUGGGAGGCUGAGGCGGAAGGAUAGCCAAGAGUCU
Long non-coding RNA from Fukomys damarensis (Damara mole-rat), 284 nucleotides. RefSeq lists it as uncharacterized. Lineage: Eukaryota; Metazoa; Chordata; Mammalia; Rodentia; Bathyergidae. The transcript has 3 exons. The record is from RefSeq and is a predicted model, not a curated record.